AACCAGUGAUGCACUGAUUCUGCCAAAUGAGUAAAAUGAUAUCACAUACUAAACCGUUCCAUUUUUCUCUGAGGUU
Erinaceus europaeus (western European hedgehog) is the source of this 76-nucleotide small nucleolar RNA. The record is from Ensembl. Lineage: Eukaryota; Metazoa; Chordata; Mammalia; Eulipotyphla; Erinaceidae.